GUUAUAUUUUAUUAUUUGGACUUUUAAUCCGUUGGUCGAAGGUUCGAAUCCUUCACGACCCACCA
Molecule: transfer RNA, 65 nt
Filed under: Caudoviricetes sp.
Lineage: Duplodnaviria; Heunggongvirae; Uroviricota; Caudoviricetes
Description: tRNA-OTHER
Rfam family: tRNA
About the family: Transfer RNA (tRNA) molecules are approximately 80 nucleotides in length. Their secondary structure includes four short double-helical elements and three loops (D, anti-codon, and T loops). Further hydrogen bonds mediate the characteristic L-shaped molecular structure. tRNAs have two regions of fundamental functional importance: the anti-codon, which is responsible for specific mRNA codon recognition, and the 3' end, to which the tRNAs corresponding amino acid is attached (by aminoacyl-tRNA synthetases). tRNAs cope with the degeneracy of the genetic code in two manners: having more than one tRNA (with a specific anti-codon) for a particular amino acid; and 'wobble' base-pairing, i.e. permitting non-standard base-pairing at the 3rd anti-codon position.
Source: RNAcentral